GACAGAGGGGGCAAGCGUUGCUCGGAAUUACUGGGCGUAAAGGGCGCGUAGGCGGAAUGGCAAGUCGGUCGUGAAAUCCUUCGGCUCAACCGAAGAACGUCGAUCGAAACUGCCGUUCUUGAGGAUUGCAGAGGAGACUGGAAUUCCCGGUGUAGCGGUGAAAUGUGUAGAGAUCCGGAGGAACACCAGCGGCGAAGGCGGCAUCCUGGACUGGUACUGACGCUCAGGAGCGAAAGCGUGGGGAGCGAUCCGG
This 253-nucleotide ribosomal RNA is filed under the name uncultured bacterium. Its description in RNAcentral is "partial 16S ribosomal RNA". It matches the Rfam family "Bacterial small subunit ribosomal RNA", at positions 524 to 776 of the family's 1533-position model. The record is from RNAcentral.